This 252-nucleotide long non-coding RNA is filed under the name Zonotrichia albicollis (white-throated sparrow). RNAcentral's name for it is "lncRNA (ENSZALG00000003618.1)". Lineage: Eukaryota; Metazoa; Chordata; Aves; Passeriformes; Passerellidae. The record is from RNAcentral.
GGAGAAAAAUUCAAGACCAUCAUGAAAAACCUGCAAAAGGAAAUCUCUGAAGCAGAGGAACUUGUCAUGGCUUCAUUAGAAUGGGUAGAAGAUCCUGAUGAGGACAUGGAACAGGCCUGGGAAAGAAAACUUGUGGCCCUCAAGCAAGAACUAGGGGAAAAAAGACAUCUUUGGACCCAGAAACUCCAACUUUUGGAAAAAUGCAAUGAGUCCUUAGAGGAGGAUUUUCUUCGAGUGGCAGACAACCUGAGG